This 497-nucleotide ribosomal RNA is filed under the name uncultured bacterium. RNAcentral's name for it is "partial 16S ribosomal RNA". It matches the Rfam family "Bacterial small subunit ribosomal RNA", at positions 28 to 507 of the family's 1533-position model. The record is from RNAcentral.
GAUGAACGCUGGCGGCGUGCCUAAUACAUGCAAGUCGAGCGAACAGACGAGGAGCUUGCUCCUCUGACGUUAGCGGCGGACGGGUGAGUAACACGUGGAUAACCUACCUAUAAGACUGGGAUAACUUCGGGAAACCGGAGCUAAUACCGGAUAACAUGUUGAACCGCAUGGUUCAACAGUGAAAGACGGUCUUGCUGUCACUUAUAGAUGGAUCCGCGCCGCAUUAGCUAGUUGGUGAGGUAACGGCUUACCAAGGCAACGAUGCGUAGCCGACCUGAGAGGGGGAUCGGCCACACUGGAACUGAGACACGGUCCAGACUCCUACGGGAGGCAGCAGUAGGGAAUCUUCCGCAAUGGGCGAAAGCCUGACGGAGCAACGCCGCGUGAGUGAAGAAGGUCUUCGGAUCGUAAAACUCUGUUAUUAGGGAAGAACAAAUGUGUAAGUAACUAUGCACGUCUUGACGGUACCUAAUCAGAAAGCCACGGCUAACUACGUG